This 200-nucleotide ribosomal RNA is filed under the name uncultured bacterium. RNAcentral's name for it is "partial 16S ribosomal RNA". It matches the Rfam family "Bacterial small subunit ribosomal RNA", at positions 8 to 204 of the family's 1533-position model. The record is from RNAcentral.
AGAGUUUGAUCCUGGCUCAGGAUGAACGCUAGCGGCAGGCUUAAUACAUGCAAGUCGAGGGGCAGCGCGGUAGCAAUACUGGCGGCGACCGGCAAACGGGUGCGGAACACGUACGCAACUUACCCCUAACUAAGGAAUAGCCCAUAGAAAUGUGGAUUAACACCUUAUAGAACAACGAGAUCGCAUGAGAUUGUUGUUAA